This 252-nucleotide ribosomal RNA is filed under the name uncultured bacterium. Its description in RNAcentral is "partial 16S ribosomal RNA". It matches the Rfam family "Bacterial small subunit ribosomal RNA", at positions 524 to 776 of the family's 1533-position model. The record is from RNAcentral.
UACGGAGGAUGCGAGCGUUAUCCGGAUUUAUUGGGUUUAAAGGGUGCGUAGGCGGACGCUUAAGUCAGCGGUAAAAUUGCGGGGCUCAACCUCGUCGAGCCGUUGAAACUGGGUGCCUUGAGUGGGCGAGAAGUACGCGGAAUGCGUGGUGUAGCGGUGAAAUGCAAAGAUAUCACGCAGAACUCCGAUUGCGAAGGCAGCGUACCGGCGCCCAACUGACGCUGAAGCACGAAGGCGUGGGUAUCGAACAGG